RNA transcript from Anolis carolinensis (green anole), 12081 nucleotides. It is a transcript of the gene named autophagy related 4C cysteine peptidase, with no coding region annotated. The record is from RefSeq and is a predicted model, not a curated record. The transcript is spliced from 12 exons. Lineage: Eukaryota; Metazoa; Chordata; Lepidosauria; Squamata; Anolidae.
AUAUAUAUGCGGCGCUGGAUGUUUCGGAAACGGAGACGCUGAAGUGGAAGCUUGCUAACAUUGCUAGCGGGCGCUUAUGGCAGCCGCCGUGGGCCAUAAUACCCGCGGUGGCGAUUGGGAAAUCCUGAGGUGGAGUGUGAGAAGCCUGUUCAGUGGCCUCGACGCCCUCGUAGCAGAAAUUAGCAUCUUUUGGGACAGUGAUGGCUUUUCCCCUCGAAUUUGAAUAUGGAGGCCACAGGGACAGAUGAAGUAGAAAAAAUAAAAUCAAAGUUUAUGUCAGCAUGGCACAAUGUGAAAUACAGCUGGGUAUUGAAAACAAAAACGUACUUUAGCAGAAACUCUCCUGUCUUUUUGCUUGGAAAAUGCUAUCAUUUUAAGACUGAUGAGCCAACAGAGCAGUCACCAAAUGGAUCAAAUUAUGAUGUAACAGAGGAAGAGGUUUCAAGAAACGUUGAAGAGUUCCGUAAAGACUUUAUUUCUAGAAUAUGGCUGACAUACAGAGAAGAAUUUCCCCAAAUCAAGGGCUCAGUAUUAACAACAGAUUGUGGCUGGGGAUGCACCCUAAGGACUGGCCAGAUGCUUCUAGCACAAGGGCUUAUUCUUCACUUUCUUGGCAGAGAUUGGACCUGGCCAGAUGCCUUAGUCAAUGAAAACCCGGAAUCUGAAUCAUGGACGAGUCACACAGUAAAAAAGCUCACAGCAUCAUUUGAAGCAUCACUUAUAGGAGAGAAGGAAUUCAAGAACCAAUCAAUCCCUCCUAGGCAAAUCCGAAAAAGAGACUGGGGGAAAAGAGAAAGCAGAGAUGAACACUAUCAUCGAAAAAUAGUUUCGUGGUUUGGCGAUUCUCCACUUGCAAAUUUUGGCUUGCAUAGACUUAUAGAAUAUGGAAACAAGUCUGGAAAAAUGGCUGGAGACUGGUAUGGUCCAGCUGUUGUAGCACAUCUUUUGAGAAAAGCUGUUGAAGAGGCAAAAGACCCUGAGCUGCAAGGAAUAACUGUCUAUGUAGCUCAGGAUUGUACAGUUUACAAGUCUGAUGUUGUUGAAAUGCAGUGUUCUCUCAAGGAUUCAGAAAAACCAGGUGCCAAAUCUGUGAUUAUAUUAAUUCCUGUGAGGCUUGGUGGCGAAAGAACCAACAUGGAAUACCUAGAGUUUGUGAAGGGAAUUUUGAGUCUUGAAUACUGUAUUGGCAUUGUUGGUGGCAGACCAAAGCAGUCGUACUACUUUGCUGGAUUUCAAGAUGACAGCUUGAUUUACAUGGAUCCUCAUUACUGCCAGUCCUUUGUAGAUGUCAGCAUAAAGAAUUUCCCCCUUGAGUCAUUCCACUGCCCUUCUCCGAAGAAAAUGUCUUUUAAAAAAAUGGAUCCUAGCUGCACAAUAGGCUUAUAUUGUCCAAAUGUGCAAGGCUUUGAAAGAGCUUCUGAAGAAAUAACUAAGGCGAUCCCUCAUUGUCCAAGUAUGAUGGCCUUUCAAGUUCUUGGAAGAUCCCUAUGCAUGAUUUUUUUUUUAAUGUGUGGAGGUCGGUGCACAGCUGAUCAACGCACAGUCUUCGCAGAGUGAGGGUCCCAACCAGUGGCAUGGUUCACACAAUGACAGUAGCUUCUCAAUCUUUUGCAGCCUUCAUACACCUUCACAGCCAUGGUAACAUAUACCAUGUUAUCUUCCGCCUGAUGUGCUGUUGAGGUCUUUGGAUUGUGCUCGGUCUGGAACCUCCCUUGCACCCUCCACCCUGUGAGUGCAUGACUCCAGUGGUUACGCCCACAGGUUCAUUGGAACAUGCAAAGCCCCUCACCAUGACAAGGUGACAAGCCAUCAAGGGGAAGUUAAUUCACUCCAGGUUUUACUCCUAAACUUUAAAGCAGUAAUGCAGGGUGCCAAACUGAUUUUGGAGGUAGAGUUCAGUACUAUGGAUAUCUUUUUAAAAAAUCAAGCUAAAAUCUCAAGCAAAUUUGCUGCUCCAUGGACACUAAAAGAACCAGCAACCACGGGCUAAAGGGGCCUUGGAUACAAAAUUCUCUCAUAAUAAUAAUAAUAAUAAUAAUAAUAAUAAUAAUAAUAAUAAUAAUAAUAUAAUAACUUUAUUUUUAUACCCCGCCCCAUCUCCCCGAAGGGACUCGGGGCGGCUUACAUGGGGCCUGGCCCGAUAAAACAAACAAAUAACAGUAACAAAGCAAUAAAACAAUUAUCCCAGUAAAAAACAUCAACAUCAAUAAAAACAAUCAUUAAAAUCAACAAGCAGGAUACAGUGUUAAAAACAGAAGACUAAUUCGUAGAUCCCAGGCAAAGUGCAGAGUGUUACGAAAUGGGAAAAGGAAAUUUCACAGUUGAAUGGACAAUAAAGUGCGGUAUAAAAUGGCAAGACAACAACAAUGGGACUAUUAUGGAAUGGACAGAUAGAUCAAUCCAGCAACAACUAAACAUCGAAGGCCUUUUGGAAGAGCCAGGUUUUUAAGCUCUUCCGGAAGGAGAGGAGGGUAGGGGCCUGCCUGAUCUCUCUAGGGAGCGAGUUCCAAAGCCGGGGGGCCACGACGGAGAAGGCCCUCUCUCUCGUCCCCACCAACCGCGACUGUGAGGGUGGUGGGAGCGAGAGAAGGGCCUCCCCCGACGAGCGAAGAGAACGUGUGGGUUCAUAAAGGGAGAUGCGGUCUCUAAGGUAGGUGGGUCCCAAACCGUUUAGGGCUUUGUAGGUGAUAACAUCUGGCUCUUAAAGGGGAACAUCAGAAUUUCUUCUACUCCACUGGAAGUACAUGGGAAAUUACUUAUGUCUGUAACUCUCAGAUUCCCACUGGCCACACCAGCUGGCAUAUUCAGGAAGCCAUAGACCAAAAUGUAACUUUUCCUAAUGCUUCCCAGGGAGCAUAGGAAUGCAGCUUAUAUCUUUGUACUGCAAACCAAUGAAUCCAGGUAAAUGAUUCAUAAUCUAAUUUACAAAACACAGAAGCAAACAAUUGCUUGCUGUAGAUAUUAUUCCUUGAGUUACAACCAAUUAAUUAGUAGGACACCGAGCAAACGUGAUAUUGAUCCUCAACUGUUUUUCUUUUCUGCACAAUUAGUGUAUAUAUAUAUAUAUAUAUAUAUAUAUAUAUAUAUAUAUAUAGUCACCCAUUCACAUAUAUUUCCUAAGCAGUGAAUGUUUUAUAAAUAUUUUGAAAAGUCUCAUCACAUUGCAGUGGCAUACUAUUUUAUUAUGAAAUGAAGGCAUGUUGAAAUCUAUCCUUCCUGUGCCCCCAAAACUGGGGGCAGAAUUAUAAUAUAUUCCCUGACACCAUUUUUCAAAAAUUGGAAUGAGUGGAGCCAUAAAAUAUGUGGCCUUAUCAUUUGGGCUGUUUUGUUCAUUAAGAAGAUGUGAAAUUAUGCAAUAGUUUAUCCAUCUGGGUGAAAGAAUACAUUUAUGAGGCAAAACACAAUUACCUCAAUAGAAAGAUGAUUUUUGACAGGUGGUGAAGGGGAAAGGGAGGGUGGGAGAAAGAGUUUAAAAAUGGACCAGAAUGUAAUAAAAGAAAAGAAAGGGGGAAAUAAUGUGUUGGAAUAACAGUAAGGAGAAUGUUUCUGUACGUGAUUUUUCAUUUACAGAUAGCAAGCAUUAAUAUGCUUGCCUAUGGGUUGUGCAUUACUGCUUUCACCUAUAUAAAAAUGGAACUUGAUUUAUAUGACCACAUUCUUUAUUGCUACUAGGUCUUUCUGUCUUUCUUGAUCUCCUAUUGGCUGCCAGGUGGUUAGAAUGGGACGAUAUUGGACUGCACUAUGGCCUAAUGGGUAAUAAUAAAUACAUCAGUGUAUGUGACUUGGGAUCGUGGGGUGUUGUGGUGGGGGAUUGUAUACCCAGAAAACCAAUCACAAAGCAGGAAGAACAAUAGCUAAAGCUUUUAGUGCUCUUUAAGUUUCCUCAUCGAUCCCCAUGGCAUCUGAUUAUAUCACAGAAGUUAUAUCAAAAAACUACAUUAAAUGUCAACUAAAUCAAGACUUUUCAUGACUCUUUUUUCUUAAAAAAAGCAAUGAACUACAGGACAAACACUAUAGUAUGCAUGGAGAUCACUACCUAGAGAACAGAACUCUGCAUUUCAUACACUCUCUUUUCAAAUGGAACUAAAAUGAAGUUGUGUGUUUUAUUCAUUUUAUUAUUUCCCUCUUUAUUUAUGUUGGCAUUCAGAAAGCAUACAGCAGCAAUCACAAAUGGCCAUCGUUCUUUACUCUUCUAAUCUACAGCGCUUUCCUUGCAAGGCUCAGAAAAAGCUUGACGGAUAUUAAUAUCUACAACUCCAUAAAACUCUUUUGGAGAGAACUGAUGAGAAAGAAAGAUGUAACUGUUUAUCCCACUGUAGACAAAAUUGAGACACAAAGCUGAGUAGUCUGGAUUUUAUAAGGCCAGAAUACCUUUAACAUGAGAAAUUGCUGCUUUUUUAUUUCCAUGGUUUAACUGUUUCCUUUGUUGACACUGCAAAGUCCAGGAUGUGAGUAUAUUGGAUCACCUUGAAACAUCGCUCACUUAGAUAGCUAAGGGUUAAAAAACUAUACUAUCAAUGAAUUCAGUUAGAAGUAAGAUCACCAGGUGCCCUUUAUUAUAAAGGUGUCCCGUAUUUGAGAGUUGGAAAACUUUUCCUUCAAAAUAGAUUGAAAAAGGUGCAAACAAAAUGCAGACGAAAACAACCCUGUAUUUUGGAAUGUGGGCCUUUCAUAAACUCAGAAAUGUAUGCAUCAUGUAAUUUUUGGAUGUUGACAAUGAAUAUGAAGCUAAUUGUUGCUUAUACCCAGGCCAGGUUUAUUCCUAAAGUCUAUCAGGAAUUCUCUUUUCAAGUAAAUAAAUCUGUGAUAAAUGCUUGAAACCCAGCUCCUUCUAUAGUUGCUUUGUCCAUGUGAAACACAAUUUUCCAGAGUCCUGCUCAUAUGACAAUGCUCUAACAAAGGAGCAACAUGUUCAUCACAUUUUUGUCUGUGUCUAUGCCUCUUCAAGUUGCCUGUCAACUUGUUGUAACCCCAUGAAUUUCAAUGGGUUGUAUUAGGCAAUGAAUAAUCGGAGGUGAUUUGGGCCAUUCCUUCCUCCGAAAUACAUCAUGCAACACCUGGAAUUCAUUGGCAGUCUCCCAUCUGCCAAUGGGAAUAUUAGGGUUUAAGUCCCCACUGUCUCAGAAACCAACUGGGUGAUCUUUGAACAAGUCAUAUUCUUUCAGCCUCAGAGGAAGGCAAAUGCAAAACACUUUUGACUAAAAUGCCAUGUGAUAAGUUUGUCUUAGGAUUCCUCUAAGUUGGAAGUGACACACAAGAGACCGUUAUUCCUCAUGAUUUUAGUUAAUCCUAAAACCUUUUGUUAAUGCUAAAAGAGAAUAUCUGAAUUGAACCUAUUUCUGUAUCUGUAUUUUUAAUUAUAACUUCCUUUAAAUUUCAUAUACACACAAAUGAAAUUUCAUGAGCAUUCUACAUACAUUAGGCCUGUAGUUCCAAGGUACAAAUUGUUUGUAGAAUCUCAAUUACACUCCUUAUAAUAUUGUCAUUUAUAAUCAGCUCACUACAAAAACAGGUCUUUUAGAGGGUAAAAAAAUCAUUUGAACUUUUGAUCUGCAAUACAUUUGAAUAUUCAGAUAAGGUCAUUGGUCAGAGCAAGGGUGACAGCUAUGGUCAAUAAAAAGGUUCAGUGAGACAAAAAACUUUUUGUCUAUGUGAGGAUAGACUAAAGACAAGAGGUUCUCAAGAGGGAUAAAGAAGAUUACAUUUUGCUGUGUCACCAGUUUGUUGGUAAAGUCCAGUAGCCAAUUUGUUGACACUAUCAGCUUUUUAUAAUUUUGCUGGAUGAUUCUGAUGGUUAUGGAAGACCUCAUCUAACACCCACACUUUUCUUCAGAAUAACUGCAAGGGUUUUCAAAUGGACCAUUAAGUCAAGUGUAUGCAGAGAGUGACAAGCAUAUGUACUGUAUUAUACUCAUGUAUAAGUCUAGAAAUUUUAGUCAACGAAUUGAUCCAAAAAACCUGGGUCAACUGAUUCAUAGACUAAUAUAAUUCUAUUCAGAGAAGGAGAUGGCUCCUUUUUGAAAUAAGAGUUAAUACUAUACCUUGAAUUUUAUCUACAAUGGAACCACCUGGGUAGAGUAGAGAAAGGAAAAUGGGAUGGAGGUGGUCAAGGAUGGUUGACCCCCUAACACAGUGGUUCCCAACCUCUGGGUCCCCAGCUGUUUUGGCCUACAACUCCCAGAAAUCUCUGCCAGUUUACCAGCUGCUUGGAUUUCUGGGAGUUGAAGACCAAAAUAUCUGGGGACCCACAGGUUGAGAACCACUGCCCUAAGGCAAUACUGGUACAAUCUCCUCUUUGUGGAGUGACUCUUGGUUUAACCAUGGAUCAUUUCAAAAUCCAAAAUUUGGCCAUCAAAAUCUGCCCUUGAUUUAUACAUGAGGUCAACCUAUACAUGAGUUUAUUUCCAUGAUCCUAGGUUCACCUAAUUAUGAAUUAGGAAUGAGUAACUGACGAGUAAUAUAGGGAAAAGAAAAGGUGCCUGUACAAGAACAUUACAAAAAAUCACACAGAUAUAUCAAAAAUUAAUGACAUGGGCAAACAAAAUGUGAAUAUUUACACCAGAACUGUGUUAGUGGUUUAGAGUAUUCCCUGUAGAUUAGAUCUAACAUAAUCAAAAUUCCACCCAUAACACAGAUUUUGUUAUUAUUAUGCUCAGUUGAGAGCCAUUGUGUUGUAGUGGUUUUCAUUUUGGACUAAGACCCAACUCCUACCCAACAUGCCAACCCUGGUGGGUGACCCUCGACAGGUCAACCUUUCUCAGUCUCAGAGGAAGGUAAUGACAACCUCUGGUUCAUCAUAACUAGGACUGACCUAAAGACACAUUACAACACCAACUAAGUCACUGUUGGAAAAACUAGCCAACCAAAAAUAAUCUGGGACCUUAAGCAUUGCAUUUCUUGACAUUUCCUUGAAUAUUAGUAAUGACAUGAUCCUAUAAUUAACCAUAAAACCUGGUACUGUUUCAAAUGUGUCAGUAACUGCAGUAUUGUUGGAUCACACUUAAGAAGCUAAGGAUGAUUAACCUUUGCCUAGGUUAUAAAAUGGCCCAUUUGAGAACUGUUGCUACUGAAUAUAUUAGCCUGAUAUCAAUUGGAUUAUUGAAUGAAAGGUUUUACAUGAUGUUUGGUUGAUGAUGAUAGAUGUGUGGUUACAAACUGUUUAUGACAAAAGGAAAAGCCUAUAAAAUAUUAAUGCAGAUUUAAAAUAGAUUUUCUUCCCACUUUGCUUCAGAAUUAAUGUAUACAUGACUAUCGAAUAUGGCCUUCUGCUUUAAAGUGGUAUCCAGUUAUUGGAUGUUUCACUAUAGGUUGGAAAUUACUACAAGACACACGACAACAACUACUAUAAACAGAUUUUGGAAAUGUUUGGCCUACAAGUUCUAGGAUUUCCUGAUCAUUAUAGCCAAUACCUCAUUGGACACUGAAAAAGUCACAAACAAGUUGAGAUUGCCUGGUCAAGACUGAAAUAAUUGUCACCAUUACAUUUCACAGAAUGCCUGCAACUCAGUCAGACACUGAUGAGAUUCCUUCAAGGUAGCCAUCCAGCAUGUAUCAAAACCUAAGAAUGCCUUUAAUCCCCCCCCCCGUCCCCGUCCCCCCCCGUUAGAGGCUUUGAUGCCUUUUUAACAUUAAGCAUUGACACCUGCACUGCUCUUUAUACAGAUAUGCCCACACAAGGUCUCUUGUAAUAGCUAAUUUAAUUUCACUUCUUUCUCUCAUUGUCCUAGGACUAAUCUUUACGCAUUUCCUGUGCAAAUUCACAUCAUUCUCCUGCAAUUGCAGGCUCAAAGGCAGUAGAGGGUUUUUUUUCUUCUUCUCCUUUAUCAUGUCUGAUUAAGGUCAGUAGGAUGACAGAGAUAUUAUAGAGAACAAUGAUCACAUUUCCAUCAGCGAAUAGGUGGGUGGGUCCAAGCUGCAUAUACUAAAAGCUUACCCUCUACAGUCUUUAAUGUGUAUUUGUGUCAUCCAUCUGCAGUCCAGACAAUUGAGUAAGCCAUAAAUGCAUAAAAUAUAUGUACUUUUUGUAUUAAAUAUUAUCUUCAGCACUAAUCCUUAUGGUUUGGGGGGCCUAUAAGCAUUUGCAGUUUUCCAACUUUUGCAGGGAUUCUGUGCCCCCACACUCUUAUGAAUGUGGUGUGAUGACACUAACUUUUCCCCUCAUUUUCAAGAUACCCAAUGUUGCUGCAGUUUGAUAAAUAACUCUUCAUUUUAAGAAGUGGAUGACAUAGAAGUGGCAGCUAUUUUCCUUUUUGGGGAAUGCUUGACUUUUUGUGCACUGAGAGGACAUGUUUUCAUAUGAACCCAACUGAUGCUUGUUGUUUGUUUAGAAGUGAUUUUCAAGUUAUUGUGGUCAUAAGGUGAUCCUAUCACUGAGUAUUUUUAACAAGUUUUGUUCAGAGGGUGUUUGCUAUUGCCUUUCUUUGAGGCUGAGAGAGUCCGACUUGUACAAGGUCACCCUAGAGGUGACCAACAGUCAGACUGCUACUCUAUGCCGGGUCUUUAUUUUGGUAGACAUAUACAAAUAACAUGGUUUCAGUUGAGCCAGAGGACAGAAACUACCAGGGGUUCUGGGGCUCUAAUUGCUCACUCAGGACAUUGGAAAACUGGACCCAACUACUUCAUCUUCAACUCCUUUUGUAAACUUGUUGUUUGUGAAAAAUUAUCCUAUAGGGCAUCUUGAACAAUUUCACCUUGUUCCUUCUUUCUCUUGGGCUAUUUUGCACCUAGGAGAGACCUUUGGUUUAUUUUUCAUUAAAAAAAUAUUCUGAGUCUCAGACAGUCCAAAAAGAGGCUUACGUAUGGCAAAAUUAGUAGCAUGGGGAGAUUUUGUAACAAUAAAUACUUCCAACUUAUGGAGAGUCUAAAGUAGUGGUUCUCACCCUAUGGACCAUGGCCCAGCAGUGGGCUGCGGGAACGAAAAUCCAGUCCGCAAACCUCCUUCCUUCCUCUCCUUCCUCUUUAUUUAUUUAUUUAUUUAUUUAUUUCACUCCUUUCUGCAGAGCUGACUAUUGCAUUGGAUGGACCAUAUCAGAUCUAGAUUAUUAAAUAGGGUGAGCAGCUAGUGACUACUGGAUGGCAAAAGUUCUGUAUCAGAAACUAGAACUGAUGUGGUCUACCCAAUGCAAUUUUCUGAAACAACACCCCAAAUAACCAAACCGAAUCUAAAGUUGGUACUAAUGUUGGAGAGUGGUCCUUGGUCAAAGUGGUCCCCGGUCAAAGUGGACCCUGGUCAAAGUGGAACCACUGGUCUAGAGGGAACCUAUGCCAAGAUUUGUUCAGAGAGGGUUUACCAUUUGAGGCUGAGAGUUUGAUUUGCCCAAGGUCACUCAUUUGAUGUCUGUGGUGAAUUGGGGAUUUGAACCCUGGCCUGCAGAAUCACAAUCCAAUGUUUAUAUUACAGGUCAGGGAGGACCAGUAUCUUUUAAGGUUGGUUUCAGAAUACAAAAAUUCUUUAUGGAUUUCUUCCACACCUUUUUUGCAUACUGCCACAGAGAAGAGUUGCAUGUUACUUGUUUUUCUUGUUUUGUACACACAAUGCAAGAGACCUCCAAAAAGCAUCCAUUUAACAGCCAUUGUCAAAGCAGGAUCCAAAUGGUACCCUGUGGGAUGCCAUUUCAAAUGCAAUAAUUGAACCCUUCAUAGUUUUGGGUCUUAUUAAACCAUUAAAAUAUACACAAUAAAGGAAAAUGAAUACAUUCAGAUUUGUUGAAAAAAAAUAACCAGGAGGAGACUAUUCUGUGAAAUUCCCUAUAUGCAUUGUAUGCCUAGUAUACAUCUAUUGAUUACAAUGAACAUCUUUUAUCUGUACACAACCUCCAGCCUACCUGUCAAAUCCUGCCAGGUAAGACUCUUGCUAACAUCUUUUCUUCUUUCUUUUAGCACCUUGGGACAUUUUCCUUAACCUCAUCCUAUUCUACCUCCAUUUACAUCAAAGUCUGACACGGCUGCUUUAAGAAAUAAUGCAUUAUGGGAUCAAUUUACUCACAGUGUUUCUUAUGAUCCCAUAACAGAAGAUCUGUUAUAUGACAGGAUAUUUCAAACUUUCACAUUUGCUACAUCUUUUGUCUUCAGACAUGAUAGAUAAUAUUCCCAAUCCAAUCCCAUAAAAGCUGUUUGGAAAUUGCAAAUUUACGCCAUUCCUGCUGGUCCAGCAAAAAACCCUUUAAUUUAUAAUCAUAGACAUAAAUUUCACAGCUAGUGUUAUUGUCAUUCCACACUUGAAUUAUAGUACAUACGGGGAGUGGCUUGUGGGAGAGAAGCAAUGUCACCAUAAUUUCAAUAUAAUUCCGAUGGCAAUCAUUAUAUCUACUUAUCAGUUAUAAAUCAAUCUAGAGUCCACAUUAAAUUAACUGGCACUGUCUCUCAAAGUUGUGAGGGAAUUCUAGGAAAGGAAUUAUAUUGCAGAUGAUUUCUGUUAUGCUGAUUCAUGUGGAUAUAGUUAUACAUACUGACUAACAACAGACAUUUCAAUAAUGAACCAAUGACUUAUUAGCAUUUUCAUCAGGAUUCCACAGUGAAGAGUCAGUAUAUGUAAUGUGGCAGGAAUCAGAUUCUCUGAACUUUUUAUUUGUUGAAAUAACUGAUAUUUUAAGCAAGCAUUGUCUACAAAUUAUAAUGGAAAUUUUGGCAGACAUCUUGUUCAUUAGUUAUGAGAUUGUAAGAUAGGAGGUAACUAAAACCUGGGCUGACUUACCUACUGGUCAAUGGAAGUCCUAUACCUUAACUCUCAUAAAAACGAAUCCUACCCUUCAGAAGAGUGGUAAAAGGUGAGAGUUAGGCUGUCCUGGCAGAAACUAAAAGAAGCACUGAUCGCUUCUACUCUCUCCACCACAGUGCUGCAUCCAACCUUUUUGAAUACCUGGAUGGGAAAAUGGUAGUGGUAGGCAGGGCCAAGGAGGCAUUUGUGCUUUGCGCUCCCUCAGCUUAUCCACAGGUCAUAUAAAAAUCCAUAAUUUUGGCCCCUAAACCUGCCCAUGACACGAGGUUGAUUUAUAUACAAGUAUACAUGGUAUUGAGGGGAAAUAUCACAUCAUAUAGAUUGUGAAUCACUGCUCUAGAUGGUAUCUGGCAAAGCAGAAGAAAGGGAUAGCUUUCCUCGCUGAGUGCCCAUGAUAUAUUAUUAUUAGCAAUAGGAUUCCCAGAUCUCAGAGCUUGACUUAAAUCUGAGAACUUGAUGCCUCCAGUUUUAAGAGCAAAUGGGAGAAAAGUGGCUUGAAUAUCUGUCUUUCUAUUGGUUCAUCCAUCUUAACUUUCUCCUGGCACAGGAAAAAUGUAUGUGUACAUAUAGCUCCCUCAGUUGUUAGUUUGGUGAAGCCCAUAGUCUGUCUCCUGGCACAGGAAAAAUGUAUGUGUACAUAUAGCUCCCUCAGUUGUUAGUUUGGUGAAGCCCAUAGUCUGUACAACUGUAGUCAAUGCUUAAUGUAUAUACUUAAUAUCACCACCAGGGUGAACAUGACAUGGGAUCAUCCUAGGUUUAGGUUUUGGUGCUGGAAUCUCAGGGACUGAGAUAAUCCUGACUUGGCGACUCUGGUUAUUAAGCCCCUACCUUAUCAUAUUUUAUAUUUAUAAUGUGGCCAAUAACCAUUAUAAGACAAUAACUUAUUAUCUAGCCAUAGGAGAGAAAUCCUACUGUUCUUCCUCUAUCAAGAAGUUCAAAGAUCCUGAGUUUGCUGACAACAUGACAUCUGUGAGGCAGAGUGGAGAUGAAACAGAAGAACAAAGCAAACAAUAAGAGGGACACAGAAGACUGGGUGACUUGGAAGAUGCUGAACAGGCUGUGCUCUGGCACCAUGAAAUGCAGUGCCAACCUUAAGAAAUGGGGCUACAACGUGGAAUCCGCGACAUGCGAGUGUGGAGAAAAGCAUACCACAGACCACCUUUUACAAUGCAGCCUGAGCCCUGUCACAUGCACAAUGGAGGACGUUCUUACAGCAACACGAUAGCCACUCCAAAAGGCCAGCUACUGGACAAAGGACAUUUAGUAUAAUGCCAAGUUUUUUUUAACUUUGUGUUUUAAAAUACAUUACAACUGUACCCUCAGUUCACUUUUGACAUGAUAAAUAAAUAAGCAAGCAAUAUCAA